AUUGAACGCUGGCGGCAUGCUUUACACAUGCAAGUCGAACGGCAGCGCGGGCUUCGGCCUGGCGGCGAGUGGCGAACGGGUGAGUAAUGCAUCGGAACGUGCCCAGUAGUGGGGGAUAGCCCGGCGAAAGCCGGAUUAAUACCGCAUACGACCUGAGGGUGAAAGCGGGGGACCGAAAGGCCUCGCGCUAUUGGAGCGGCCGAUGUCGGAUUAGCUAGUUGGUGGGGUAAAGGCUUACCAAGGCGACGAUCCGUAGCUGGUCUGAGAGGACGACCAGCCACACUGGGACUGAGACACGGACCAGACUCCUACGGGAGGCAGCAGUGGGGAAUGUUGGACAAUGGGGGCAACCCUGAUCCAGCCAUGCCGCGUGCGGGAAGAAGGCCUUCGGGUUGUAAACCGCUUUUGUUCGGGAAGAAAUCCUCUGGGCUAAUACCCCGGGGGGAUGACGGUACCGGAAGAAUAAGCACCGGCUAACUACGUG
RNAcentral lists this ribosomal RNA (484 nucleotides) under uncultured bacterium. RNAcentral's name for it is "partial 16S ribosomal RNA". It matches the Rfam family "Bacterial small subunit ribosomal RNA", at positions 29 to 507 of the family's 1533-position model. The record is from RNAcentral.